This 427-nucleotide ribosomal RNA is filed under the name Tectarius viviparus. Its description in RNAcentral is "partial 16S ribosomal RNA". It matches the Rfam family "Bacterial large subunit ribosomal RNA", at positions 1927 to 2569 of the family's 2925-position model. Lineage: Eukaryota; Metazoa; Mollusca; Gastropoda; Littorinimorpha; Littorinidae. The record is from RNAcentral.
ACGGCCGCGGUACUCUGACCGUGCAAAGGUAGCAUAAUCAUUUGCCCUAUAACUGAGGGCCAGUAUGAAGGGUCUGACGAGGGUUGUACUGUCUCUGUAAGAAUCCCUAAAAAUUAUUCUUUAGGUAAAGAAACCUAAAUAAAAUUAAAAGACAAGAAGACCCUAUCGAGCUUAAAAUCUAUUUAUGAUAUAAACAAAGCCAUCUAUUGCAUCUCCCUUCAUAAAAAAUUUUGGUUGGGGCGACCAAGGAACAAAAAAAGCUUCUUUUACAAAAAUUACAUUAUAAUUGAUCCACACCUAUUGUGAUUAAAAAAAUUAGUUACCGUAGGGAUAACAGCAUAAUCUUUUUUGAGAGCUCCCAUCGAAAAAAGGGUUUGUGACCUCGAUGUUGGACUAGAAUAUCCCGACAGGUGCAGAAGCCUUCAAA